GAUGAACGCUAGCUACAGGCUUAACACAUGCAAGUCGAGGGGCAGCGGGAUUGAAGCUUGCUUCAAUUGCCGGCGACCGGCGCACGGGUGAGUAACGCGUAUCCAACCUUCCGUACACUCAGGGAUAGCCUUUCGAAAGAAAGAUUAAUACCUGAUGGUAUGAUGAGAUUGCAUGAUAGCAUCAUUAAAGAUUUAUCGGUGUACGAUGGGGAUGCGUUCCAUUAGGUAGUAGGCGGGGUAACGGCCCACCUAGUCUUCGAUGGAUAGGGGUUCUGAGAGGAAGGUCCCCCACAUUGGUACUGAGACACGGACCAAACUCCUACGGGAGGCAGCAGUGAGGAAUAUUGGUCAAUGGCCGAGAGGCUGAACCAGCCAAGUCGCGUGAAGGAAGAAGGAUCUAUGGUUGUAAACUUCUUUAUAGGGAAUAAAGUGGAGGACGUGUCCUUUUUUGUAUGUACCUAUGAAUAAGCAUCGGCUAACUCCGUGCCAGCAGCCG
RNAcentral lists this ribosomal RNA (496 nucleotides) under uncultured bacterium. RNAcentral describes it as "bacterial SSU rRNA". It matches the Rfam family "Bacterial small subunit ribosomal RNA", at positions 28 to 517 of the family's 1533-position model. The record is from RNAcentral.